Gadus morhua (Atlantic cod) is the source of this 205-nucleotide long non-coding RNA. RefSeq lists it as uncharacterized. The record is from RefSeq and is a predicted model, not a curated record. The transcript is spliced from 2 exons. Lineage: Eukaryota; Metazoa; Chordata; Actinopteri; Gadiformes; Gadidae.
UCACCUCACCCUCCUUUUCUGGACAGUGGUCUGUGGAUCCUUAACAGGAACCAGCAGUCAGGUGACUGUGACUCAGACACCAGUAGUGUCCGUUACUCCAGGAACCACAGUCACUCUGACCUGUAAAACAAACUCAGCGGUUUACAAUGGUAAUGAACUACACUGGUACCAACAGAAACCUGGAGAAGCCCCCAAGCCCAUCAUA